RNAcentral lists this non-coding RNA (219 nucleotides) under Blautia hydrogenotrophica. RNAcentral's name for it is "T-box sequence". It matches the Rfam family "T-box leader". From Rfam's summary of the family: Uncharged tRNA acts as the effector for transcription antitermination of genes in the T-box leader family. T-boxes are found upstream of many aminoacyl-tRNA synthetase genes and some amino acid biosynthetic genes usually in Gram-positive bacteria. Lineage: Bacteria; Bacillati; Bacillota; Clostridia; Lachnospirales; Lachnospiraceae. The record is from RNAcentral.
AGAAAGGCUUUGAAGGUGUAAGUAGAGAGAUAUUUUCUUUCAGAGAGAGGAGGCCACCGGCUGUAAACCUCCUUAAGUUCAGAUAUUUCUUGAAAUUCUCACUGGAGCUGCUGCUUUGAACAGAGUAGAAGCAGACGUACUGUGCGUUAAACAGUUGAGUGCCUGCAUGCGUUUUUGCAGGAAUCAGGGUGGUACCGCGGAUUCAGCUUCGUCCCUAUG